AAGCCUGUAACUUAAUGGUUAGAGUGCUCGCUUGAUAAGCGAGUUAUGGCGGUUCGAUUCCGUCCAGGCUCAACA
This 75-nucleotide transfer RNA is filed under the name Bacteroidota bacterium. RNAcentral describes it as "Bacteroidetes bacterium (sediment metagenome) tRNA-Ile". It matches the Rfam family "tRNA". Rfam says of the family: Transfer RNA (tRNA) molecules are approximately 80 nucleotides in length. Their secondary structure includes four short double-helical elements and three loops (D, anti-codon, and T loops). Lineage: Bacteria; Pseudomonadati; Bacteroidota. The record is from RNAcentral.